UACCUACGGGAGGCAGCAGUAGGGAAUUUUCGUCAAUGGGCGCAAGCCUGAACGAGCAAUGCCGCGUGAGUGAGGAAGGUCUUCGGAUCGUAAAGCUCUGUUGCAGGUCAGAAAAGAAGGGAAGAGGAAAUGCUUUUCUUUUGAUAGUAACCUGCCAGAAAGUCACGGCUAACUACGUGCCAGCAGCCGCGGUAAUACGGAGAAUGCGAGCGUUAUCCGGAUUUAUUGGGUUUAAAGGGUGCGUAGGCGGUUUGUCAAGUCAGCGGUAAAAAUUCCGGGCUCAACCCGGCCCCGCCGUUGAAACG
This 305-nucleotide ribosomal RNA is filed under the name uncultured bacterium. Its description in RNAcentral is "bacterial SSU rRNA". It matches the Rfam family "Bacterial small subunit ribosomal RNA", at positions 335 to 634 of the family's 1533-position model. The record is from RNAcentral.